RNAcentral lists this ribosomal RNA (407 nucleotides) under uncultured bacterium. Its description in RNAcentral is "partial 16S ribosomal RNA". It matches the Rfam family "Bacterial small subunit ribosomal RNA", at positions 28 to 526 of the family's 1533-position model. The record is from RNAcentral.
GACGAACGCUGGCGGCGCGCUUAACACAUGCAAGUCGAGCGAAGCGGCGGACGGGUGAGUAACACGUGAGUAACCUGCCUUAGACCUUGGGAUAGCCUCGGGAAACCGGGAUUUAUAACAACAGGUAUAAGAUGGACUCGCGUCCCAUUAGCUAGUUGGUGAGGUAACGGCCCACCAAGGCGACGAUGGGUCGCCGGCCUGAGAGGGUGAACGGACACAUUGGAACUGAGAAACGGUCCAACCUCUACGGUAGGCAGCAGUGGGGAAUAUUGCACAAUGGAGGGAACUCUGAUGCAGCGACGCCGCGUGAACGAAGAAGGCUUUCGAGUCGUAAAGUUCUUUUAUAUGGGAAGCGGUACCAUAAGAAAAAGCCCCGGCUAACUACGUGCCAGCAGCCGCGGUAAUAC